RNAcentral lists this long non-coding RNA (525 nucleotides) under Homo sapiens (human). RNAcentral's name for it is "HSALNT0359231". Lineage: Eukaryota; Metazoa; Chordata; Mammalia; Primates; Hominidae. The record is from RNAcentral.
CUUUUGAGGGAGAGGUUUGCAUCUGUGGAGGAAAUGAAGUGAAGUAAACAACAGAUAGAAACAGGCUUUCUUUGAAGCCCCCCUUGUUGGGACCUGGGAAAGAUGAAUUGAGAGUCUGACAAUUUAAAGCUCUGACAGAAAUAUUUACUGCUGGCUACGAUUUAUUUUUUUCUGAAGGCUGCUACCUGUGAGGUUUCAUCUGCAUAGUUGCUAACUUUGGAGGAAGCCAGCUGCCAUGUCACAAAAAGAUUCAGGAAGCCAUGUGGAGAGGCCCACAUCAUGAGGAACUGAGGUCUUUGCCAAUUACCAGCAAGGAAAUGAGGCCUCCUGCCAACAGCCACGUGAGUAUCCUACCUUGGAAAUGGACCCUCUAACUUCAAUCAGCCUUCAAAUAACUGCAGCCCCAGUUGAUGGCUUGACUGCAACCUUAGGAGAAACCCUGAGCCAAAAACAUUGAGGAAAAACACCCCCAGAUUCCUAUCAGAAAUUGUGUAAGAUAAUAAAUGUUUGUUGUUUUAAGCUGCU